AAGUCCUCCAGCGCUGAGGAGGCCGCCGCCUUGGCCAUGGUGCCCCACUCCGCCCCUCACCAGAGCCCCGUGAAGGAUCAGCCCGAACCUAGGAUGCGCUUUGGGAACUAGCAGAAGUGAUCAGCCUAGGAAGGUUGACAGGAUCCCAGUGUGCCCCCAGCACCACUGAGCAGGAAUUACAAGCGACUGUCUAUGAUGAAGACCUAAUGUUACCUCGGAGACUAGAGCUUUUCAGUCUGUCUGAAGCCCUGAAUCAAUGCUUGUCCUACAGCAAGCACUCAGUACUGUCCUAAAGUCAAUCAUAUCUUCAGAUACUGAAGCAGCUUGAACAUUCCAGAGUCAUUUCAAAGUGCUGUAGAAAAAUUAAAUAAUCAAGUGCACUGUAAUGAAAUUUCAUUCAUCGGGCUUGGACUCUGGACAUUUGGGCAGUUUCUACAAACCACAAUUCUCAAAGGAAAAGCAUCAAGAAGAGCCUCAUGCAGCCCACGUCGGCCUCAAACUGACGACAGAGCUGAGGAUGAGCUUGGAUUCCUCGCUCCCCUGCCUCCACCCAGGUGCGAGGAUCACAGGUCCGCACCACCACACUCUCAAACGUUAGUUUAACCUCAUCCAGUACUACUGUUCCAGUCUCCAACAGAGCCCUCAGCACCAUGAAUUCUGAUCCACCAAGGCAGAGAACCUAAUGAACACCCAAGAGGUUUCCUCAAAAUCCACCAAGACCCUCAGGAAACUGGCAAGGCCCAGACAGAAGAAGCAAGGACUGUCCCUGAGCAGGGUUCUGAGCACUGGCGAGGAGAGAGCUACAGACAGACAGACUGACAGUGGCCAGGCCAGGCCUACGGCGGAACCAAAAAUGACAGAGAUGUUUGGGAAUCACCUUCCAAACUCUGAAAGCAGAAGGUGCACACAGUCCAGCUCUCCCUCAUUCAAGUUACAACUGCAGGGCGGGCCCCUCUGUGUUCUCACACUCACUCCUCCCUGUCUCUUCUGUACGCCAGGGGUGGGGGUCCUGAAACCAAUGUUCCUCUGAUACCUCACGUUUUCCUUACAGUGGAUAUGGCACAUUUUAGUCUAACAAGUCUGGUGAUCAACAGAGGAUGGGCAACGAUCAGUGCUGUGAGUGAGGGCACAAAGGGUAAUGAAAAGCUGAUCAGAAAGCCGGCCCAGGGCUUAGGAGGACUAGUGUUGGAGGCCAGAGACUAUGUGGAUGCUUCCCUGGUACCAGGCCUGCUCCAAAGAUGAAUUAACCUCUACUGAAGGGCUACAGAACCCACAGCAUUCGGCACGGUCCUUACCAGCAACUGUCAGGCAGCCAGGCCUACAAGCCAGUGUAACAGGUACACGAGUUUAUUUUCAUUUAAAAUUCAAUGAACUAAGCCGGGCGGUGGUGGCGCACGCCUUUAAUCCCAGCACUCGGGAGGCAGAGCCAGGCGGAUCUCUGUGAGUUCGAGG
Molecule: non-coding RNA, 1452 nt
Organism: Peromyscus maniculatus bairdii (prairie deer mouse)
Lineage: Eukaryota; Metazoa; Chordata; Mammalia; Rodentia; Cricetidae
Source: RefSeq, a predicted model, not a curated record